ACGGAGGGUGCGAGCGUUAAUCGGAAUCACUGGGCGUAAAGCGCACGUAGGCGGUCAUUUAAGUCAGCUGUGAAAUGGUUUGGCUUAACCGGAUCAUGCGGUUGAAACUGGAUGACUGGAGUGCUGGAGAGGCAAGUGGAAUUCCCAGUGUAGCGGUGAAAUGCGUAGAUAUUGGGAAGAACACCGGUGGCGAAGGCGACUUGCUGGCCAGCAACUGACGCUGAGGCGCGAAAGCCAGGGGAGCAAACGG
This 250-nucleotide ribosomal RNA is filed under the name uncultured prokaryote. RNAcentral describes it as "partial 16S rRNA". It matches the Rfam family "Bacterial small subunit ribosomal RNA", at positions 525 to 775 of the family's 1533-position model. The record is from RNAcentral.